Molecule: long non-coding RNA, 806 nt
Filed under: Pongo abelii (Sumatran orangutan)
Lineage: Eukaryota; Metazoa; Chordata; Mammalia; Primates; Hominidae
Description: lincRNA
Source: RNAcentral
GGCUGCCGCCCUUCCCCCACCCACGCCGGUUGGAGCCUCCCGUUCGCGCUGCCAGCAGCUUCCGCCUGCUGCGGUCCUGGCAAGCACCUCGGGAUCUCAUUCCUUCACAGGGGCCCUAGCCGGUUAAAGCUGAUACAUUCCUGUGGGUCAACUAUGCAACUAACUCAGAUUUUGAGCAAACAAAGCUCUCAAGUUGGUGAUCCUCAGGAGUCUCUGCAUUAGUUGGACAGCUCUUCUGGAAUUAUCUUCUAAGUCAACUGUGGGUUGGGUAGGUGGCUCUGCUGAUUUUUUGCUGGACUUCCACAUUUGGGACCAGUUGGCUGUCAUCAGCUCUAGAAAGGGUGUGGCUGUUUUACAUUGGCUGUUUUCCUCACAUUCCUCAAGCAGGUAAGCUUAAUCGUGUUCUCAUAUUGAAGCAGAAACUGUUUACUCAUUUAUCUAUUUACUUACUGAGUCUCCUGGGCACUAGGUACUGUAAUAAAGAACUGGAGAAAUAAAGUCAGAUGGGAAGUAGCCCCUGCUGUCAAGGAGCUUGCCAUCUAAUGGGGGAGACAGGCAAGUAAACCAAAGACUACACAGUGCAGUAUGGUAAGUGCCAUGAUUUUGAUAUGACAGGGCACAGUGGAAGACCUUCCAAAUCAAAGCAAGUAAGUAAGGGUUGACAAUGGUAAGUAUCAUAGUUGAAGUAUCCUUGAACAAGGUUUCAGGAAGAAGAAUAAGGGAAUUUCAUGCAGGGAAACAGCCAAAGCUCAGUGAGUCAAAAUAUCACAGCAUUCUUGGUAAGCCCAAUUUUUUUUUCUGUUUUG